UAUUGACAUACCCCAUCCCGAAGGAGGGCAUGCUGGCCGUCACGUGAGAGUGACGUAACCAUUUGCACAGUACGGAAGCUUUAAGAUACAAUUUAAGUUGAUACACCCGAAGGUGAGUCCUAAUUUUGUCCAAUCUGUCAGAACACCGUCGAAUUCCUCGUAGUCACCACACCUUUGUGAUUCCUGAACCUGGAGGGGCGCAAAACCAAAAUUGAGUGGGUCAGUAAAACAAUUCUUUUCCAAAUCCAAACAAUUUUCAAAACGUUGUAACCCCUCUCCGUAAAACCUGUAUAUUUUCCCAGAAAUGUAAAAUAUAAAUAUACAUAUAUAUUCUCAAAACUUCAAGUCGUUAACUCAACAUUUUUCAUAACAAUUAUGCCAUGCCCACAUCAUCUCAACAUUUCUCAUAUUAAUUAUGCCAUGCCACAUCAUCUCAACAGUAAUAAGGUAUGAAUGCAUCAACAUAAUCAUAUCAGGUGCAAGAAAGUAAUCAACCGUAGGCCCUCUAAUAGCCCUGUACGGUUGAACCUAGAGCUCAAAAUCUAUCAUUAUCACUCUACCGGAGUCACCUCUGUGACCCGUCCGGCCUUCUGCACACAAGUUACGCUCUAGUGCUUCUCAUAAGUCAUCUGUGCACAUAAUCUAAGGUCACCCACCAGUCGGAAUCUCACUAACACUCUCGCGACUGGUCUGUCGUACCCACUCCGCGUGGACUGUACGACUAGCAUCUACUUGGAUCCAAGGCGAGCGUGCGAUGCGGUGAAUACUAUAAGCACUAAACCAUGGUGCAGGAUUUGAGCUCAAUAUAUAUCAUCAUCAUAAUAACAGUAAUUAAAUUCUUACCUGUGCGUCCACCGCACCAAUUCAUACAUAUGCAUCAUAAAUCAAUUCUUACCUGUGCGUCCACCGCACCAAUUCAUACAUAUGCAUCAUAUAUUAAUUCAUGCAUGGCAUUUCAACUCACAUUUCUAUAUACUUUUCAUAUCAAUUCUAUGCAUGGUAUUUCACUUCCCGUUUUUCCACAUAACUCAUAUGCAUUUCAUUUUAAACAUAUUUUCAUUUCAAUUCAAUUUCUGGGAAACGUCAAGUAUAUAUAUAUACGGAAACAAACUGCCCACUCACCUGGAGUUCGCCCUACAACUCCCUAGCACAAUACGCCAAGGCGUCAUGACGAUCGCCGCCUAGAAUAGUAAUCAAAUCCAGGCUCAGAAUUCAUAUCGAUAAAAUAUAAUAACUUAUAUAAAAUACGUCACUACGUAGUUCGAUCCGGAAGAUCUGCCACUCAGAUUUUAAAUCCAUAACUUCCAGAGGUCCACAAUAUAUCUCUAGGAUAACAUCCUAAAAUUUCAUUACCAUCCAACGGUUGGAUCUCCGUCAAUUUCCAAAACUAAGUGACGGUUAACAUUUUAUAUUAUGGACUUACAAUUCCAAUUCCGGAAGAUCCGUAACUCGGAUUCCCAAUCCGUAAGUUCCAAUAAUCCUCAAAUAUUACGUAUUACAACGUAUCAAAGUUUGGUGACAAUCCAACGGUCGGAUCAUCAAUUCACAUUUUCACCAAAACUAUAAAACGUUAUUCGAACACCUAACCAACAAUCCUUAAUAACUUUCUCAUACGGUGUUCAAUUUAGGUAUAUGAAUAUACCACAGUGAUCUACUCGACGUCACGGACGUCGACAUAUUUUUAAAAUAUUUUAUUUUUAUUUUUUAUUUUACUGUAGCACCAUCUUCUUCCUUGGGUCGCCGGACUGGUUUUUCCGGCGGCCGUUUUUCCGGGCAGUUUUUUCAAAUUGCCAUAACUUUGUCAUUUCUCAACGAAAUCAAGUGAUUCAAAAACGAAAGUUGUAGCCCUUGAAGAGACAAAGAGAAUGGUACCUUGCACAACACCUAGUUCGCCGUGGUUUGGCCGGAAACUGCCUCGAAAGCCUCGGAGGUCGCCGGAAACUGGGUAUUUUUCAAAUGAGUAUAACUUCUUCAAUACUCAACGAAAUUGAGUGAAACAAAAAGGAAAGUUGUAGUACUUGACGAGACGAAGAGAUUGAUACCUACCUCGACUCUUAACUCGCCGGGGAUUCGCCGGAAAAAGCCUCGAAAGCUCCGGCCAAACUUUGAACUUGUCGAUCUCAGUGUUCUUACGUCCAAAAACUUCCCACGAAGCACUCCGAGCUUCCUUGGGACCUCACUAAGCUCACUAUAAGCUUAGAAUUCCCUGAAACACAACAUUUUACGUUCACAUGAACAGUGACCAAAAAUGGAGGUUCGGGUUUCACAUGAUUCCGAAGGUUUCACUUCCUAAAACUAGUACCAAUGAACUCAGAAUGACGAAAGGAUGAAGAUGCAUACCUUAGUUGCCUCGAUCCGUCGAGUUUUGGAGGAUUUGGGUGUAUGCCGUACGUUUUGGGUGAGAGAGAGUGAGAGAGAAAGAGGAAGUCGUGAGGGAGGAGAGAGAAUGAACUGAGAGAGAGACAAGGUACGGGAAAGAGGGAGAAAAUUGAGGGGUGUGGGAUCCUACCCAAUCCCCAACUACAAAAUUCUAACAUAAAUUUAAAUCUAAGUCUCCACUCUACUUACCAAAUUUUAGGAGCUUAGAUAUAACGAACAUAAAAAUUAUACCUUAGCCACGUAUUAGGGGCAUUUUCGUAAUUUCACAUCCUCGGAAUUAAAAAUUCCGGGACGGGCUGUGACAAUCUUCCCUCCUUAUAGAAUUUCGUCCCCGAAAUUCCAACAACCAAUCCAAACAUCUACUCAUACCAACCUCGGUAAAUCUCUCUUAUCCGAUUCUCUUUCUCCCACGUAAUUUUCUUCCACUGAAUGAUUUCCUUCACAAAGCUUUUACCACUUACUCUGUCUUAAUUCUCAAGACUUUCUUUUUCCAAUCCAAAGUCGUCCUUGGUUCCUUAUCAAUUCGAAUCCAAUUUAAUUCUCAAUAGUUGCACCAGAAUCUCAUGUGACGAAUCUGCCACCUAGUGACAACGUAUCGAACCCAAAAUACAUUAAGUACCUUAGCCAACUCUGAAGACAUCACCACUUGUAUGCAACUUUAUUGAUUCCUUUAGUGAUCAAAAAUGGUCUGAUGUGUCUAAAUCUUAUUUUGUCUCCUUUCCAACCCGAAUUAUACUUUUCUAUGGUGAACACUUCGAAAAUAUAAAACCAUUUGUCUUAUACACUCGAUUAGUGGCAUAUCCCUCUGUUAAUCUCUUUUGCCUCAAUCUGCUGACCAAAUAAAACUGUCGAAUGGUAUGAUAAAUCUUAUUACUUUUGGAAUAUUACAGAAGUUAAACAAUGUACUUCGUCCAAAAUUGCUUACUUUAAAUCCUUAGCAUUAGGCACAUACUUUUUGUUUUCUUGUAUCCACAUACCAUUUGAUUCACGAAUCAUGUACUCAUUCUUUUUCCCUUCUUUCUCUGCCUUGGUUAAUUCUUAAAUUUCCUCGUCAAACAUUUAAGUUUCGAGUACGACCUUACCAAAUAGGCCUAACUUGAAAUUUAACAAGUAUAACUUCUUCUCGAUCUUUCAUUCUUAACUUUUCUUCCAUUGGUUUUCAAUCCACAAGAUGAUACUCUUGGCAAACGUGCCAGAUAUUAAUCUUACUGUAGUCUUCUCACCAAGUGCUUCAGCUAGAACAAAUUUUACGAUCACCUUGAUCGUACAAUCAUGUUCAUUAAGCAAUACAAUUCACUUUCGCUGCCUCAUAUCAAAAUCCUUCCAAGUAAUGGAUAUUGAAGACUUUUUGGAUUCGUAAAAAUCUUGCAUUCUUACCAAAUAUAUAAUGUCUCCAUAACUUCACAGUAAGAAUGGUAAUCAUGACUUCCAAGUCACUCGUAGGGUAAUUCAUCUCAUGAGGUUCCAUUUAUCAUGAAACGUAUGCAAUCACCCUAACAUUUGCAUCAACAUGCCUCCAAUACCAUUCAAGAAACAUCACUAAAAAUUUAUGAUUACCACUAUUCUCUGGGAAUACCAAAUUACGUGCAUGAGUGAGGAAAUACUUCAGUUGUUGAAUCAUUUGCUCACAAUUUCCUUCCCACUCAUACAUAACCUCUUUUCUCAACAGUCUCGUUAAUGACAAAGCAAUGACUAAAAAUUCUUUCACAACCAUCCAAAAUAGCCUGGUAAGCUAAGAAAUUCCAAAUCUCAAUUACGACUCGUGGUUGUUCCAAAUUCUCAAUUUCUGCUAUCUUUUAAGAAUUCAUUUGAAUACCUUAAGCAGAUAUAACCAAUCUCAGAAUGCCACUUGAUUCAUCCAACAUUCGCAUUUGCUAAACUUAGCAUACAACCAACGUUCUCUCAAUCUUUGCUUCACCGACUUAAUACGUUUACAUGCUCUGCUCUGGCUCAGAAUAUGCCAGAAUAUCUUCAAUGAAAAUGAUAUCAAUUUAUCAAGGCAUUAUUGGAAUACUUCAUCCAUCAACUCAUAAAACAGCAUGAGUAUCCAUAUAGCAUCACCAAACUUCAUAAAGACUAUAACAAGUCCAGAAAACCAUCUUAUGAUCAACGUCACUUAUAAUAUUCAAUUGGUAGAACCAGAUCUCAAUUCAAUCUUUGAAUCUUCGCAAUUACUUCUGAGCUGGUUAAAUAAACAUCAGUACAUCACCAUGGAUAACGGUUCUCAAUCGUUACCCGACUCCAUUGUCUAUAAUCAAUGAACAAUCUCAAGAUCCAUUUUUCUUCCUCACCAACAAACUGGGCUCCUCAAAAGUGUUGUACUAGGUUGAAUAAAACUUUUAUCAACCAAUUCUCUCAACUGAAUUUCCAAUUCCCUUAACUCAUCCUGAACCAAUCUCCAAUAUAAAUUUAUACCUGGCAACAAAUCAAUAAUGAACCUCAUAUCUCUGCCUGAAGGCAAUCCAGGUAUACUUUCAAGGAAGACAUCAAGAAAAGUCUAACUCUUUCGACAUUAUUCACACUACUCCAAACAACAUCAUUUAGCACCACAUGAGCUAAGUAUUUUUGACAGCCUUUCGAAAACAAUCUCUUUGCUCUCACAGCAUAAAUAACAGCCUGACUCAAUCCAUUUUGCAUACUUACAAAAGUAAUCUCUGUUCAUCCAUAUCGAUGGAAAGUACUGGUUUCCCGUAACAUUCCGUCUUGUCACAAUUAUAACCAACCAAUCUAAUGGAACAGAAUUAACUGAUACAAUAUAUAUUCUAUUAUUAUUAAGCAUUCUAAAUAAGUACAAUACUAACAUAAAAUAAUCUACCGGUUUGCUUGCUUAACGAAUCCACGAAUGAGUUAUUAAUAUUACGGUCUGCAGCCCGCAAUACUGAUAAAUCAUCGUUGUCUCGAUAAGUAGGCAACCACUCUCAAAGAUAUAACAUUACUAUUUUGUUACUCAAUGCAAAAUACAUACACUCGUCUCAACUACAUUUAUUUACUACUCUCUAGGUAAUAACAUACAUAAUAAGAAAUAUAUCAGCCGAAGUCAACUAGAAUGACCAAUACGGCUGAUUCAACUCUUAUCUCAAUAAUACGUCGGCCGGAUCCACUCCGCGUGGUCGGUAUGGCUGAGCCUAUAACUCACCAUUUCUCAUGUGUCAAUCGAAUCCACUUCUCAUGGUCUGUACGACUGAACAUAUAACUCAUCAAAUCUCUCUGUACUCACAGUCAAUCCGACCAAACUACUAAAUUCAUAAACUUGUUGAAUCAACACUAUGAUAUCAUGGAAAAUUGUUGAGUACAACUGAUUCUAGGGACGAUUCACAAUUCUGUGUCCCCUCUGUUCACAUAAACACAUUCAUUAAUUUCACAUUUCCCAAAGUGUUAAUUUUUUUUUUUUUUUUUUUUUUUUUUUUUUUUUUUUUUUUUUUUUUUUUUUUUUUUUUUUUUUUGUACCUGCUGCACAAGGUACAUUUCCUUUACUCGAGACACCUUGUCUCAAAUAUCUGGGAUUACCAGUAUAUCCAUCACUUUUACUCUGACCAGCGACAUUAAAACCUCAGCUGGAAGAAUUAACUCUAGCUUCACUUCUUUCGAAGCUCUGAAUCUUUCUAUAUCCUUGAUAUGACGAAUCAUUGACUUUAUCGUCUUCUUUUGAGUCUCAUUCAUUUCUUAUUCUUCUUUAUUCUCGUUGCUCAUGUUCUCAGAGUCCUCAAGACUCAACAGCAUCUCGCAUACUCCUGAUAAGAAUUACAAUGGAUAGUGGUCACCCAAAAUACCACUUCCCUUUUGCCACCCAGCCUAAAACAACAUAACACCUCCACCAAAUUCACAACAAUAUCUGGAUAGAACGAGGCAAGUCUGAAAACUUUCUAUAAUAUCCCUCGAUCAUCACCUUCCUUGUCUCAUAUUUGUAAACUCUUGUUUACCACCAUCGAUAAAUGCCGGAGGGAUAAACUUUUCCUUUAAACAAGUCCUUAAACAAUUCUCAAUCGACUGAUUCCUAUGGUGACAACAAUUCAUACUCCUGUUUCCACCAGGAUACAAAUUCAUAACCAAAACCAGGUAGUCGUCUCGACCCCUUGUCAGAAGGAAAUUUCCUUUGACUUGCAUAAUCUGAAACAUCUUUUCCAAUUGGUUAAACCGUUACUUCGCUCCCUCAGGUUCAUCAUUUCAUAAGGUGAUUCAAAUUCAACUCAUAACCCAUCUUAAAAUGUCCCUUUUUAUAAUAGACUGAAUCACCAUAAUAAUAGUUUUCCCUAAACCGCUAUAUUAGGGAGACUAAAUUCCUCUAACUACGUGGUUUGCUACGAGGCGGUGUAGUUCUGACAGAAUUCACUAUAAACUUCUCAAGAUGUCCAAGAUUGCAACCAUGCUCUGAUACCAACUGACAUACCCCAUCCCGAAGGAGGGCAUGCUGGCCGUCACGUGAGAGUGACGUAACCAUUUGCACAGUACGGAAGCUUUAAGAUACAAUUUAAGUUGAUACACCCGAAGGUGAGUCCUAAUUUUGUCCAAUCUGUCAGAACACCGUCGAAUUCCUCGUAGUCACCACACCUUUGUGAUUCCUGAACCUGGAGGGGCGCAAAACCAAAAUUGAGUGGGUCAGUAAAACAAUUCUUUUCCAAAUCCAAACAAUUUUCAAAACGUUGUAACCCCUCUCCGUAAAACCUGUAUAUUUUCCCAGAAAUGUAAAAUAUAAAUAUACAUAUAUAUUCUCAAAACUUCAAGUCGUUAACUCAACAUUUUCAUAACAAUUAUGCCAUGCCACAUCAUCUCAACAUUUCUCAUAUUAAUUAUGCCAUGCCACAUCAUCUCAACAGUAAUAAGGUAUGAAUGCAUCAACAUAAUCAUAUCAGGUGCAAGAAAGUAAUCAACCGUAGGCCCUCUAAUAGCCCUGUACGGUUGAACCUAGAGCUCAAAAUCUAUCAUUAUCACUCUACCGGAGUCACCUCUGUGACCCGUCCGGCCUUCUGCACACAAGUUACGCUCUAGUGCUUCUCAUAAGUCAUCUGUGCACAUAAUCUAAGGUCACCCACCAGUCGGAAUCUCACUAACACUCUCGCGACUGGUCUGUCGUACCCACUCCGCGUGGACUGUACGACUAGCAUCUACUUGGAUCCAAGGCGAGCGUGCGAUGCGGUGAAUACUAUAAGCACUAAACCAUGGUGCAGGAUUUGAGCUCAAUAUAUAUCAUCAUCAUAAUAACAGUAAUUAAAUUCUUACCUGUGCGUCCACCGCACCAAUUCAUACAUAUGCAUCAUAAAUCAAUUCUUACCUGUGCGUCCACCGCACCAAUUCAUACAUAUGCAUCAUAUAUUAAUUCAUGCAUGGCAUUUCAACUCACAUUUCUAUAUACUUUUCAUAUCAAUUCUAUGCAUGGUAUUUCACUUCCCGUUUUUCCACAUAACUCAUAUGCAUUUCAUUUUAAACAUAUUUUCAUUUCAAUUCAAUUUCUGGGAAACGUCAAGUAUAUAUAUAUACGGAAAACAAAACUGCCCACUCACCUGGAGUUCGCCCUACAACUCCCUAGCACAAUACGCCAAGGCGUCAUGACGAUCGCCGCCUAGAAUAGUAAUCAAAUCCAGGCUCAGAAUUCAUAUCGAUAAAAUAUAACUUAUAUAAAAUACGUCACUACGUAGUUCGAUCCGGAAGAUCUGCCACUCAGAUUUUAAAUCCAUAACUUCCAGAGGUCCACAAUAUAUCUCUAGGAUAACAUCCUAAAAUUUCAUUACCAUCCAACGGUUGGAUCUCCGUCAAUUUCCAAAACUAAGUGACGGUUAACAUUUUAUAUUAUGGACUUACAAUUCCAAUUCCGGAAGAUCCGUAACUCGGAUUCCCAAUCCGUAAGUUCCAAUAAUCCUCAAAUAUUACGUAUUACAACGUAUCAAAGUUUGGUGACAAUCCAACGGUCGGAUCAUCAAUUCACAUUUUCACCAAAACUAUAAAACGUUAUUCGAACACCUAACCAACAAUCCUUAAUAACUUUCUCAUACGGUGUUCAAUUUAGGUAUAUGAAUAUACCACAGUGAUCUACUCGACGUCACGGACGUCGACAUAUUUUUAAAAUAUUUUUAUUUUUAUUUUUUUAUUUUACUGUAGCACCAUCUUCUUCCUUGGGUCGCCGGACUGGUUUUUCCGGCGGCCGUUUUCCGGGCAGUUUUUCAAAUUGCCAUAACUUUGUCAUUUCUCAACGAAAUCAAGUGAUUCAAAAACGAAAGUUGUAGCCCUUGAAGAGACAAAGAGAAUGGUACCUUGCACAACACCUAGUUCGCCGUGGUUUGGCCGGAAACUGCCUCGAAAGCCUCGGAGGUCGCCGGAAACUGGGUAUUUUUCAAAUGAGUAUAACUUCUUCAAUACUCAACGAAAUUGAGUGAAACAAAAAGGAAAGUUGUAGUACUUGACGAGACGAAGAGAUUGAUACCUACCUCGACUCUUAACUCGCCGGGGAUUCGCCGGAAAAAGCCUCGAAAGCUCCGGCCAAACUUUGAACUUGUCGAUCUCAGUGUUCUUACGUCCAAAAACUUCCCACGAAGCACUCCGAGCUUCCUUGGGACCUCACUAAGCUCACUAUAAGCUUAGAAUUCCCUGAAACACAACAUUUUACGUUCACAUGAACAGUGACCAAAAAUGGAGGUUCGGGUUUCACAUGAUUCCGAAGGUUUCACUUCCUAAAACUAGUACCAAUGAACUCAGAAUGACGAAAGGAUGAAGAUGCAUACCUUAGUUGCCUCGAUCCGUCGAGUUUUGGAGGAUUUGGGUGUAUGCCGUACGUUUUGGGUGAGAGAGAGUGAGAGAGAAAGAGGAAGUCGUGAGGGAGGAGAGAGAAUGAACUGAGAGAGAGACAAGGUACGGGAAAGAGGGAGAAAAUUGAGGGGUGUGGGAUCCUACCCAAUCCCCAACUACAAAAUUCUAACAUAAAUUUAAAUCUAAGUCUCCACUCUACUUACCAAAUUUUAGGAGCUUAGAUAUAACGAACAUAAAAAUUAUACCUUAGCCACGUAUUAGGGGCAUUUUCGUAAUUUCACAUCCUCGGAAUUAAAAAUUCCGGGACGGGCUGUGACACUUAUAUAUAUUACACUAAUUUUCACAAGCUUCAAAAUUAUGGUCUUUUUUAUUUCCGUAUUUAUUGAAUGUAUCUAUCUUGCGCAUCGGAUGACGAAAAAUUGCCCGGAGUGACGGUGACAAUGAUUUUUCAGUCCUCUGAAAACGCAUAUGUACAAGGUGAUGGUUUACUUUUAUGCACGUAUGAAUAGAAACUUCAUGCAUCAUGUGACUGUUGAAUAUAUGUGAGGUACAUAUAUGACCAAGUCUCUUGCUUUGGUUGCCAGUGGCUACUUUUCCUGAUUGCUGUUAAUAUGAAGAUACUAUUUUAGAUAUGCACUAGGUCUACUAUUUUUCUUGAUGAAAUCUAGAGCGUUCAACCAUGAAAGGAAAUAAGAAGAUAAAAAUAAAAAAGGAGAGAUAAUCCUUAUCCGAGCCUAGUAAUCCUUGCCGUAAUUUACUGUUUCAAAUUGUAAUGACUUUUGCUUUGAAAAACAUAUGAGGGUAAUUAUUAUUCCCAAUUCAAAGUAAAAGCCCUUGACCAUGUGGAGAAAGAACUGGGAUUUUCGUCGGAUCUUAAGGUUGGUUUAGUAUUGUUAUGCUUUGAAAAAAUUAUUUUUGCUGUACUGUGAGAAUAAGCAGCUGUGAAAUAAAGCAGUUUAGUGUUUGGUAAACUUUUUUGUAAAAGUGCUUUUGAAAAAAAAAAAAUAUUAUAGUAUUUGAUAAACUUUUAUAUAAAACAGAUGUGAAAAAAAACUAGUUUUUCAAAGCUGGAUUUUGCAGCUUUGUGUUUUUGGCAUUUUUUCAUCCAAAACUAUGAAAAAAAAAACUGAAACUGAAUGUUUACCAAACAUAAAAAAGCUCCAAGCUUUUUUUUAUAGGAAAACUAAUGAAAAAGAUUUGAAAACUUUGAGUUUUAAUGAUGAGGACAAAAUAAAGGG
RNAcentral lists this long non-coding RNA (10355 nucleotides) under Malus domestica (apple). RNAcentral's name for it is "long non-coding RNA (MDOM_LNC011755)". Lineage: Eukaryota; Viridiplantae; Streptophyta; Magnoliopsida; Rosales; Rosaceae. The record is from RNAcentral.